GUGAACGCUGGCGGUAGGCCUAACACAUGCAAGUCGCACGGCAGCACAGUAAGAGCUUGCUCUUACGGGUGGCGAGUGGCGGACGGGUGAGGAAUACAUCGGAAUCUACUUUUUCGUGGGGGAUGACGUAGGGAAACUUACGCUAAUACCGCAUACGACCUACGGGUGAAAGCAGGGGAUCUUCGGACCUUGCGCGAUUGAAUGAGCCGAUGUCGGAUUAGCUAGUUGGCGGGGUAAAGGCCCACCAAGGCGACGAUCCGUAGCUGGUCUGAGAGGAUGAUCAGCCACACUGGAACUGAGACACGGUCCAGACUCCUACGGGAGGCAGCAGUGGGGAAUAUUGGACAAUGGGCGCAAGCCUGAUCCAGCCAUACCGCGUGGGUGAAGAAGGCCUUCGGGUUGUAAAGCCCUUUUGUUGGGAAAGAAAAGCAGCAGGUUAAUACCCCGCUGUUCUGACGGUACCCAAAGAAUAAGCACCGGCUAACUUCGUG
RNAcentral lists this ribosomal RNA (491 nucleotides) under uncultured bacterium. Its description in RNAcentral is "partial 16S ribosomal RNA". It matches the Rfam family "Bacterial small subunit ribosomal RNA", at positions 29 to 507 of the family's 1533-position model. The record is from RNAcentral.